CCAACAGCAUAACUGGCAAGUCCAAGAAUACCAAAGGGUUGUGAUCGGUAUAAACAAUUAAUGGUCUCUGUGCUGCACAGAUGUAGACCUCAAAAUGCUGAAUUGCCAAGCGUGACUUUCCCAUGAAGUUCAAUCAACGAUACAAGAUCAAGAGAACAGUGAACCCAUCUAACUCUAGCAGUUUCCAGAGGUAAAGUGGCAAAGGACCUUGGACCUAUAGUCAAGGAUUGGCAACAGGGGAUCCAG
Molecule: long non-coding RNA, 246 nt
Organism: Hypanus sabinus (Atlantic stingray)
Lineage: Eukaryota; Metazoa; Chordata; Chondrichthyes; Myliobatiformes; Dasyatidae
Exons: 3
Source: RefSeq, a predicted model, not a curated record